GGGGAUGUUUGUUUCGACGGAAAGAUAGCUCUUUAAAAAAGCCAGCCUCCUUUGAUUAAUAGGAGUAAAACAGAAUCAAAAAACAACUGUCACAAAUUUUAUUUCUGACAAAGUAGAUCAAGCAAAAGGCUUUUUAGCCUCUUUGCUUCCUACUCCAGCUUUAGCUUACGCUUAAACUGGCAUUCUAUUUAGCUUUUUCUAGGGAGCUUUAUAGGGUGAAAACUAACCUAGAAAGCAGUCUUUUUUAAGCCAAAAAAAGAUCAAGUUAAAUGGCAAAAUUAAGAUGAAUUAGGGUUAUCCAUUUCUCUCAUCUUAAAACAAAUGGAUUAAGCUGGUACAACUUUUUUUAAAAAGCCUUUUCGGACAGGAGUUCAUUGCUCCUCAUCUCCACUU
Molecule: transfer-messenger RNA, 393 nt
Filed under: Candidatus Beckwithbacteria bacterium CG10_big_fil_rev_8_21_14_0_10_34_10
Lineage: Bacteria; Candidatus Beckwithiibacteriota
Rfam family: transfer-messenger RNA
About the family: Bacterial tmRNA, also known as 10Sa RNA or SsrA, is named for its dual tRNA and mRNA-like properties.
Source: RNAcentral